Molecule: long non-coding RNA, 2602 nt
Organism: Chinchilla lanigera (long-tailed chinchilla)
Lineage: Eukaryota; Metazoa; Chordata; Mammalia; Rodentia; Chinchillidae
Exons: 2
Source: RefSeq, a predicted model, not a curated record
CCUGGGGACCGAGCGCCUGACCAGAACUUCCUCGGGGGAGGCCGGAGGAGCGUGCGUCCUGCAGAGAGCUCCCCGGAGCGUGCAGGCCAGAGCAGCCUGCAGCUCUCAGCCGUGCUGGACGGGGUCCCCCGUGGACACUGACGUGGGUCUGGACCCUGUGGGCCUCGGGAGGGAGCUGGAGGCUUCCCCCGGGGAGACGCUGACACCGCCUGGAUGGAACCUUCCCCUCUGGCUCAGCCUCUUCCUCUUCGCCGCCACUAGGAGGGAAUUGAGAAGGGACUUUCCAGAGAGCGUUAGCGUGCAGGGUGUGGAAAUGGAAUAAAAGCAUAUGCAAAUAGGCCUGCGGGUGCCUUCCUCUACCCCAGUGAGCCAGAACCUUCCUCCAGAAAGAUGCUCUUCCUCCAAGACCCUAGACAGCGCUCUCCCCUCCCAGGACGGCAGCAGCAGGCCGAGUGGAGUGAGCUGGGCCAAGCAGGAAGAAAGGCUUUGUGCCAUCUCUGGAGAGCCUGUGUGUAUCCUCAGCUUUGAGAACUGAAUUCCAUGGGUUGUGUCAGCGUCAGACCUGUGAAAUUCAGUUCUUCAGCUGGGAUAUUUCUGUCAUCGUGGACAGAUCCUGCAGAGCUUGUGCAGCCUGCCAAGGAGCUUGGAGGACUGGAGACAGACGGGUCAACCUGAGGCCACACAGGGCCGGGCAUGCGGGUUUCUAGAGGGGCUCUCCUCUGCUUGGGCAGAACAUUGAGUUGGCUGUCAGCAGUCUUGCCUUGCUCCGUGGGCUGUCUCUCAGCAAGUCGCUCUUGCUGCUGCAACUCGUUUCCAUUUAUUGAUUACUGAGGAUGAUUCAGGUGCGGGACUAAGUGCUUUACAUGCUGUUAUAGGAGACUCUUGGGAGAAAUCACUUUAAUGAAGCCUGAGACGCGGAGCGUUGCCAUGCAAUGAUCCCCCUCCCUUUUAUGGGACCAGAUGGAAUUAUUAGUAUGUGACAAUUAUCUGUUAGCAUGGACUGCUAUGGUGUCUGGUUCUUUUUAAAGAUAUGUAGUGAAAAAAGAUGAGAAACAUAGGUACAUCCCUCCUAUGGCCUCCCUUGCCCUUUAUUUGAAUCUAUAUUUCUUUGGCUGCUCUAAAUACAAUGGGGCUAUACUGUCCCUGUGUGCUCCAAACAAGGCAAAAAGAGGUUGUGUCUUGCCUUCGCCACCACCUGCAAUGUCUCCUGGGAUGGGGCACACACAGGGUUUGAAGGUCCCCUCUAUUUGUUCAUGGCAGCUGAGUGGAGUAGGUUGAGUCUUUCUGCUCCCUCCGGCCUCAGGUGAGCUGGGUCUGUUCUGAGGCUGAGGUUGGUGUUGAUGUUGACAUUUUCCACAUUUAGACAAAGCACUGGGGAGUUUGUGAGUAAUAGCUAGAUUUUAUUAGCUUUCUGAUUUGAUGGGUCAUAAAGAAUGUGAUUUGCCUUUUGGGGACUCAUCACUGAUUUGACACCAUCUCUUGGAGUCCUGCAAUGUCCGUCUCAGUAUUGUCUGCAGAAUGAAAGUGUUGUCUGAUCCAGAGAGGGAGGUAGACAAGGGAGACCUGCAGCAUGCAUGUUCUCACCCUUUCUUCUCCAUGACAUGGAGGUUUAUUGGGCAUCUACUAUGCCCUGGGACCAUACUUAGAGUUUUGCACACAUGAUUUCAGUGAAUCUUACCAAGCCUCAUCUGGAAAAUUAUGUGAAAUUUAAAAAAAAGUAUAACCAUGUUUUACAAAUGCACAAGGGCACUUGGUUACUAUGAACACUUUCUGAUGUGAGCCGGAGAUAUGGGUAUGGCCCCUGGGCAAGAAGGUUCAAAUCAAGGACCUUCCUGCGCUUCCCACUCUGCUCACUUCCUCCCUGGGCUUGUCAGGCCCUUCGCCCAUUCUAGACUCAUUCUAGACCUGCGGCACUGGUGAAUCUCAGCUGAGACCAGAGAUCAGUGUUUUCCUAGACUACCAGAGAGAAUCCAGAAUCUACACCAGGAACUCCAAUGUGCUGGGCCUUGGCUUCUCUGUGCCGUGAGCACUGACUUAGAGCUAAAUUCUGACUUACUACAAAAGUCUCAUCCUUAUUAUAGGGUACACUGUUCCUAAAGCAGGCUUGGAACAUGAAAUGUGGAAUUUUAGAUACACAUACGCAGACACACACACACACACCUGGCAUGUCUGUGAGGAGAAGGCAACAGUUAUAUCAAAGAACACUGAAGGGGUGGGCUCAGUGGAAGAUCCCUUACCUACCCUGUGUGAGAUCCUUGGUUUUGUCUCCAGUACUAGAUGAGAGAAAAAAGCUUCAUUUCAUAAGUGGAUUUGUUUUAAGAUUCUGCCAAUGAUUUUUGAGGUUCUGUUGCUUUACCAAACCUUCAUUUACGUAGGUAGAAAAAGUAGGGUAUAUAAGACCUUAGAUUCUGUUCAAUUUAUGUGAGAUUAGAAAUGUAUGCAUAGGAAUGUGUGCACUGAAAAUGUAUGUCAGUUUAUUAACAGGGGUUAGUUCUGCGGUGGUGGGAUCUGACAUGUAUUUUCCUUUGUAUUUCUCUCUGUUGUUUGACUCAUACACUGAACAUAUUUAAUUUAAAUAAAUUGCUGAAGAAAAUUUAACACA